GAUGAAGAACGUAGUGAAAUGCGAUAAGUAAUGUGAAUUGCAGAAUUCAGUGAAUCAUCGAAUCUUUGAACGCACAUUGCGCCCGGUAUUAUUCUGCCGGGCAUGCCUGUUCGAGCGUCAUUUCAACCAUCAAGCCCCAGCGCUUGUGUUGGGGGCCUGCGGCUGCCGCAGCCCCCUAAAAGCAGUGGCGGGCUCGCUAUCACACCGAGUGCAGUAGUUCAUCUUCUCUCCGGUCUUGUGAGGCGGGUUCCGGCCGUGAAACACCCCACUACAUUCAAGGUUGACCUCGGAUCAGGUAGGAAUACCCGCUGAACUUAAGCAUAUCAAUAAGCGGAGGA
RNAcentral lists this unclassified non-coding RNA (338 nucleotides) under soil metagenome. RNAcentral describes it as "partial contains 5.8S ribosomal RNA, internal transcribed spacer 2, and large subunit ribosomal RNA". The stretch from base 1 to 120 matches the Rfam family "5.8S ribosomal RNA", at positions 35 to 154 of the family's 154-position model. The record is from RNAcentral.